RNAcentral lists this long non-coding RNA (477 nucleotides) under Apteryx owenii (little spotted kiwi). RNAcentral describes it as "lncRNA (ENSAOWG00000013587.1)". Lineage: Eukaryota; Metazoa; Chordata; Aves; Apterygiformes; Apterygidae. The record is from RNAcentral.
CCCGCCUCCGCCGGUCGUCGCCACUGCGCAGGCGCGGCGGUGGGAGGGGGGCGGGCGCCAUGGCAACGCGGCGCGGGAGGUAAACAAAGGGGAGGCCGCGCUCGGCGGCGGCGGCGGCAGCAGCAGCAGCAGCGAGGGGCGUCGCGGCGGGGACCCGGACCCGGACCCGGACCCGGACCCGGACCCGGACCCGGACCCGGACCCGGACCCGGACCCGGACCCGGACCCGGACCCGCCGAGCCUUCGGGUCCCGCCGCGCCUUCGGGUCCCGCCGCAGGCAGAGCAGGAGCUGUGGGUCCAUCCUCAGGGCUUGAUGUGGAACCCCCCAGCGCAGUAAAAGGACUUACCAUGGUGAAUGAAAACUCCAUACAAAUAUGGAUGUCCCAGCAGUUCUGAUGGAUGUCCAGAUGCCCUGGUGACGGUUGCAGCUUAAAACUUGAAGAGAUCUUGUUAGGAGCUCUGCUCUUCAGCUCUACA